This 376-nucleotide ribosomal RNA is filed under the name uncultured bacterium. RNAcentral's name for it is "bacterial SSU rRNA". It matches the Rfam family "Bacterial small subunit ribosomal RNA", at positions 521 to 896 of the family's 1533-position model. The record is from RNAcentral.
UAAGACGAACCGAGCGAACGUUGUUCGGAAUCACUGGGCUUAAAGGGCGCGUAGGCGGGCUGCCAAGUUUGGGGUGAAAUCCUCCGGCUCAACCGGGGAAGGGCCUCGAAUACUGGCGGUCUGGAGGGAGGUAGGGGCGUGCGGAACUGUGGGUGGAGCGGUGAAAUGCGUUGAUAUCCACAGGAACUCCGGUGGCGAAGGCGGCACGCUGGACCUUUUCUGACGCUGAGGCGCGAAAGCCAGGGGAGCGAACGGGAUUAGAUACCCCGGUAGUCCUGGCCCUAAACGUUGAGAACUAGGUAGUAGGCCAGACAUGGGCUUACUGCCGGAGCAAAAGUGCUAAGUUCUCCGCCUGGGGAGUAUGGUCGCAAGGCUG